GAUGAAGAACGUAGCGAAAUGCGAUAAGUAAUGUGAAUUGCAGAAUUCAGUGAAUCAUCGAAUCUUUGAACGCACCUUGCGCUCCUUGGUAUUCCGAGGAGCAUGCCUGUUUGAGUGUCAUUAAUAUAUCAACCUUCUCUUUUUUGAGUUGUUUAGAUGUGGGGGUUUGCUGGCCUCUUAAAUGAUUCAGCUCCCCUGAAAUGCAUUAGCAGAACAACCUGUUCAUUGGCGUGAUAAUUAUCUAUGCUAUUGAAUGUGAGGGCAGUUCAGCUUUCUAACCGUCCUUGGACAAUUCAUCAUUAAUGUGACCUCAAAUCAGGUAGGACUACCCGCUGAACUUAAGCAUAUCAAUAAGCGGAGGA
This 362-nucleotide unclassified non-coding RNA is filed under the name soil metagenome. RNAcentral describes it as "partial contains 5.8S ribosomal RNA, internal transcribed spacer 2, and large subunit ribosomal RNA". The stretch from base 1 to 120 matches the Rfam family "5.8S ribosomal RNA", at positions 35 to 154 of the family's 154-position model. The record is from RNAcentral.